This 430-nucleotide ribosomal RNA is filed under the name uncultured bacterium. RNAcentral describes it as "partial 16S ribosomal RNA". It matches the Rfam family "Bacterial small subunit ribosomal RNA", at positions 29 to 506 of the family's 1533-position model. The record is from RNAcentral.
AACGAACGCUGGCGGCAGGCCUAACACAUGCAAGUCGAACGCCCCGCAAGGGGAGUGGCAGACGGGUGAGUAACGCGUGGGAAUCUACCCAUCCCUACGGGAUAACGCAUGGAAACGUGUGCUAAUACCGUAUACGCCCUACGGGGGAAAGAUUUAUCGGGGAUGGAUGAGCCCGCGUUGGAUUAGCUAGUUGGUGGGGUAAAGGCCUACCAAGGCGACGAUCCAUAGCUGGUCUGAGAGGAUGAUCAGCCACAUUGGGACGGAGACACGGCCCGAACUCCUACGGAAGGCAGCAGUGGGGAAAAUUGGACAAUGGGCGCAAGCCUGAUCCAGCCAGGCCGGGUGAGUGAUGAAGGCCUUAGGGUUGUAAGGCUCUUUCACCGGAGAAGAUAAUGACGGUAUCCGGAGAAGAGGCCCCGGCUAACUCCGU